GAUGAACGCUGGCGGCGUGCCUAAUACAUGCAAGUCGAGCGAACGGACGAGAAGCUUGCUUCUCUGAUGUUAGCGGCGGACGGGUGAGUAACACGUGGAUAACCUACCUAUAAGACUGGGAUAACUUCGGGAAACCGGAGCUAAUACCGGAUAAUAUUUUGAACCGCAUGGUUCAAAAGUGAAAGACGGUCUUGCUGUCACUUAUAGAUGGAUCCGCGCUGCAUUAGCUAGUUGGUAAGGUAACGGCUUACCAAGGCAACGAUGCAUAGCCGACCUGAGAGGGGGGAUCGGCCACCCGGGACCGGAGACCCGGCCCAACCCCCUACGGGAGGCAGCAGUGGGGAAUCUUCCGCAAUGGGCGAAAGCCUGCCGGGGCAACGCCGCGUGAGUGAUGAAGUUUUUCGGAUCGUAAAACCUUGUUAUUAGGGAAGAAAAAAUGUUUAAUUCACGGUGCAAAUCUUGACGGUACCUAAACAAAAAGCCCCGGCUAACUACGU
Molecule: ribosomal RNA, 497 nt
Filed under: uncultured bacterium
Lineage: Bacteria
Description: partial 16S ribosomal RNA
Rfam family: Bacterial small subunit ribosomal RNA
Source: RNAcentral